UCUGCAGGCUGCUUUCUUUUUUCUCUUGCUAGUGCGAGUUGUUCUCGGUGCACAGAGAUUUUUUUUUCGUUUUCUUAAUCUGUAUUAAUUUAUACUAUCAGUUUUAUACACAUAUACACAUACCCAUUAUUUCUUUUUUCGGUUUCCUUCGAUAUGUGUGUGAUUUUGUUGCUAACGUUAUGGAAACAGGAAUGAUUCAUUCGUCUGCAUCUUUAAACAAGUCCCAAUCGCGAUGCCCGCUUCAAGAACAGUUUCUUCAGAGAAGAAGUUCGCGGGAAAAUGUAAGUUAAAUGUGUUUCGUGUAUUAUUAAUGUUGAUGUGUUUCCUUAAUUGCAUGCUAAUUUUUCAAGAAUUUGUGUUGUAAAUAGAAUUAAUCUUCUGCAAGUAAAAGUACGCGAAGAGAAAGAAGUUAGAUAUUACAAUGAGCUCGUCUAAGUGUCAACUAAAUCUACUAUUUUGCCUACAAGCUUCCAACUUAAAACCCCAUCCAUAUCCAAAGCACACGAAAAAAGCUCAACAUAUUGGUCCUUAUAUCUUACAGCCGCCAACCUACAAUCAAAUUACACACAGCAAAGUUGGACUUAUCCCUUGCUUCCUCAGUAAUAACCGGUGUAAUAUGUAGCGGAGGGGGCAGCAGUAGGAGUUUGCUGAGCCGGAGUUGUAGCAACAGCAGGCUGUGCAUAAGUCGGCUGGGGAAAGGCCUGAGAUUGAUAAGUCUGAGGGUAAGUUCCAUAUGCUGUACUUUGAGAAAGUGAAACUGGCGCCUGAGGAUGUGCAUAACUUGCUCCAUAACUGCCAUACACAGCCUGUUGUGCAUAAUUCCACUAUUGCGUAUGAGUUUGUAAGGAUUGAGGCCAAGCUUGAGGUUGUACGCCAUAACCUGCUGGCCACUGAUUUUGUGUAGUAGGAUAAGCACCCAUCACAGAGGUUGAAGAAGUCGAAACAAGUGAUUUUGCAAGUUUUGCUCUGUCUGAAGCUAAAAGUCCUCGGCAUGACGUUUCUUUGACUCAGCCGUGCUUCUAUGGUUCAAGAACAAUUUUGAAUGUCGAUAAUCUGCCUUCUUUACAGACAUAGCAUCUGCCUUCUAUGGUUUGUUUCGAGUAAUUAGAAUUUCUUUUGCAUUUGAGUCGCUAAAGAGUUAAACUUUUUGGUGUCUGGAUAUGGUUUGUCAGCCUACAUUUAUAAAUGAUGUGGUUUAUUCAAAUUAUUUGUGUAUGGUGAUGAUGUCUCUAGUUAGCCAUUUUUCGAGAGUUGUAGUGUAGGUUCUGGUUUUAUAUGGNNN
RNAcentral lists this long non-coding RNA (1282 nucleotides) under Salvia miltiorrhiza (redroot sage). Its description in RNAcentral is "long non-coding RNA (SMIL_LNC007798)". Lineage: Eukaryota; Viridiplantae; Streptophyta; Magnoliopsida; Lamiales; Lamiaceae. The record is from RNAcentral.